RNAcentral lists this ribosomal RNA (613 nucleotides) under uncultured bacterium. Its description in RNAcentral is "bacterial SSU rRNA". The stretch from base 1 to 517 matches the Rfam family "Bacterial small subunit ribosomal RNA", at positions 338 to 873 of the family's 1533-position model. The record is from RNAcentral.
CCUACGGGAGGCAGCAGUGGGGAAUAUUGGACAAUGGGCGAAAGCCUGAUCCAGCAAUGCCGCGUGAGUGAUGAAGGCCUUAGGGUUGUAAAGCUCUUUUACCAGGGAUGAUAAUGACAGUACCUGGAGAAUAAGCUCCGGCUAACUCCGUGCCAGCAGCCGCGGUAAUACGGAGGGAGCUAGCGUUGUUCGGAAUUACUGGGCGUAAAGCGCGCGUAGGCGGCGAUUCAAGUCAGAGGUGAAAGCCCGGGGCUCAACCCCGGAACUGCCUUUGAAACUAGAUUGCUAGAAUCUUGGAGAGGUCAGUGGAAUUCCGAGUGUAGAGGUGAAAUUCGUAGAUAUUCGGAAGAACACCAGUGGCGAAGGCGACUGACUGGACAAGUAUUGACGCUGAGGUACGAAAGCGUGGGGAGCAAACAGGAUUAGAUACCCUGGUAGUCCACGCCGUAAACGAUGAUAACUAGCUGUCCGGGCACUUGGUGCUUGGGUGGCGCAGCUACGCAUUAAGUUAUCCGUCCGUCGGGUAGGUACGGUCGCGAAGAAUUAAACUUAACAAUAGUAAGUUAGACGGCGUGAGACGUCGACCGAACGGACGACCGACGAGGGAGGUAGG